RNAcentral lists this ribosomal RNA (484 nucleotides) under uncultured bacterium. RNAcentral's name for it is "partial 16S ribosomal RNA". It matches the Rfam family "Bacterial small subunit ribosomal RNA", at positions 30 to 507 of the family's 1533-position model. The record is from RNAcentral.
AUUGAACGCUGGCGGCAGGCCUAACACAUGCAAGUCGAGCGGAUGAAGGGAGCUUGCUCCUGGAUUCAGCGGCGGACGGGUGAGUAAUGCCUAGGAAUCUGCCUGGUAGUGGGGGAUAACGUCCGGAAACGGGCGCUAAUACCGCCUACGUCCUGAGGGAGCAAGUGGGGGAUCUUCGGACCUCACGCUAUCAGAUGAGCCUAGGUCGGAUUAGCUAGUUGGUGGGUUAAAGGCCUACCAAGGCGACGAUCCGUAACUGGUCUGAGAGGAUGAUCAGUCACACUGGAACUGAGACACGGUCCAGACUCCUACGGGAGGCAGCAGUGGGGAAUAUUGGACAAUGGGCGAAAGCCUGAUCCAGCCAUGCCGCGUGUGUGAAGAAGGUCUUCGGAUUGUAAAGCACUUUAAGUUGGGAGGAAGGGCAGUAAGUUAAUACCUUGCUGUUUUGACGUUACCAACAGAAUAAGCACCGGCUAACUUCGUG